RNAcentral lists this ribosomal RNA (144 nucleotides) under Boehmeria clidemioides var. diffusa. Its description in RNAcentral is "5.8S ribosomal RNA". It matches the Rfam family "5.8S ribosomal RNA", at positions 17 to 154 of the family's 154-position model. Rfam says of the family: 5.8S ribosomal RNA (5.8S rRNA) is a component of the large subunit of the eukaryotic ribosome. It is transcribed by RNA polymerase I as part of the 45S precursor that also contains 18S and 28S rRNA. The record is from RNAcentral. Lineage: Eukaryota; Viridiplantae; Streptophyta; Magnoliopsida; Rosales; Urticaceae.
UAUCUCGGCUCUCGCAUCGAUGAAGAACGUAGCGAAAUGCGAUACUUGGUGUGAAUUGCAGAAUCCCGUGAACCAUCGAGUCUUUGAACGCAAGUUGCGCCCGAAGCCUUUCGGCCGAGGGCACGUCUGCCUGGGCGUCACGCA